Molecule: long non-coding RNA, 363 nt
Organism: Xenia sp. Carnegie-2017
Lineage: Eukaryota; Metazoa; Cnidaria; Anthozoa; Malacalcyonacea; Xeniidae
Exons: 2
Source: RefSeq, a predicted model, not a curated record
CUGGGUGAUGUCAUGCAUGAUUGGUGGUAUAACAACAGAAGCUAAUGCAUCAACACUACUUGGAGUAUCACUAUCACAUAGUAUUGCCACACUUCUUCCAGCUGAAGUAUCUAUUUCUGGCUCUAUCUCAGUCAUGGUCAUGGACAAUGUGAAUGAAGAGUCUUCAGCAUCACUGGGUUGUUCAAGCAUACUGGCUAAUUCCUGCACAUUGUGGAAUUUAGAUUCAUUUAAUUAAAAAUGUUUCAAGUGUAAUGUUCAAAGAAAAUUUUAAUAUAAUGAUCUCACUUAUAUAUAUCAAUACAUACUUAUUCAUGCUCAAGAUAAAUAAUAUCAAAAUUAUUCUGUAAAAAUAACAUUAAUGGG